AUCCCGGAGACCCUUAGGAAACUAGGGGUGCUCCAUCUGGAAGAAUCUGGAGACAGGUGCUGCAUGGCUGUCGUCAGCUCGUGUCGUGAGAUGUUGGGUUAAGUCCCGCACGAGCGCAACCCUUGCCUUUAGUUGCCAGCAGUUCGGCUGGGCACUCUAAAGGGACUGCCGGUGUUAAACCGGAGGAAGGUGGGGAUGACGUCAAGUCCUCAUGGCCUUUAUGACCAGGGCUACACACGUACUACAAUGGCCGAUACAAAGGGCAGCGACACUGCGAGGUGAAGCCAAUCCCGUAAAAUCGGUCUCAGUCCGGAUUGGAGUCUGCAACUCGACUGCGUGAAGUCGGAAUCGCUAGUAAUCGUGAAUCAGAAUGUCACGGUGAAUACGUUCCCGGGCCUC
RNAcentral lists this ribosomal RNA (399 nucleotides) under uncultured Desulfobulbus sp. RNAcentral's name for it is "bacterial SSU rRNA". It matches the Rfam family "Bacterial small subunit ribosomal RNA", at positions 986 to 1381 of the family's 1533-position model. Lineage: Bacteria; Pseudomonadati; Thermodesulfobacteriota; Desulfobulbia; Desulfobulbales; Desulfobulbaceae. The record is from RNAcentral.